This 253-nucleotide ribosomal RNA is filed under the name uncultured bacterium. RNAcentral describes it as "partial 16S ribosomal RNA". It matches the Rfam family "Bacterial small subunit ribosomal RNA", at positions 524 to 776 of the family's 1533-position model. The record is from RNAcentral.
UACAGAGGGGGCAAGCGUUGUUCGGAAUUACUGGGCGUAAAGGGCGCGUAGGCGGCUUGCUAAGUCACACGUGAAAUCCCUCAGCUUAACUGGGGAACUGCGUGUGAAACUGGCGAGCUUGAGGGUAGGAGAGGAAUGCGGAAUUCCAGGUGUAGCGGUGAAAUGCGUAGAUAUCUGGAGGAACACCGGUGGCGAAGGCGGCAUUCUGGACUAUUUCUGACACUGAUGAACGAAAGCCAGGGGAGCAAACGGG